This 253-nucleotide ribosomal RNA is filed under the name uncultured bacterium. Its description in RNAcentral is "partial 16S ribosomal RNA". It matches the Rfam family "Bacterial small subunit ribosomal RNA", at positions 524 to 776 of the family's 1533-position model. The record is from RNAcentral.
UACAGAGGGUGCGAGCGUUGUUCGGAAUUAUUGGGCGUAAAGGGCGCGUAGGCGGCGCCAUAAGUCACUUGUGAAAACUCUGGGCUCAACUCAGAGCCUGCAAGCGAAACUGUGGUGCUGGAGUAUGGGAGAGGGUCGUGGAAUUCCAGGUGUAGUGGUGAAAUACGUAGAUAUCUGGAGGAACACCGGUGGCGAAGGCGGCGACCUGGUCCAAUACUGACACUCAUACACGAAAGCGUGGGGAUCAAACAGG